CCAAAAAAUUCCAAUUUUUUACCCAAAAAAUUCCAAGUUUUUGGGGAUUUUUUGGGAUAUUUUGGGGGAUUUUUUGGGAUUUUUUUGGAAUUUUUUCAGAAUUUUUCCGGGAUUUCUUUGGAAUUUUUUGAGGAUUUUUUAGGGAUUUUUUGGGGAUUUUUUCAGGAAUUUUUGGGGAAUUUUUUCAGGUUUUUUUGGGAACUUUUUUGAGAAUUUUUUAGGGAUUUUUUGGGGAUUUUUUGGAGGAUUUUUUUUUUGAUUUUUGGGAUUUUUUUCUGGAUUUUUUCGUGAUUUUUUUGAGGAUUUUUUUGGGGAAUAUUUUAGAAAAUUUUUGGGGAAUUUUUUCAGGAUUUUUGGGGACUUUUUGUGGGAUUUUUUAGGAAUUUUUUGGUGAUUUUUUGGGUGAUUUUUAAGGGAUUUUUUGGGGAAUUUUUUGGGACUUUUUAGGAAUUUUGGGGGGAUUUUUUGUGAAAAAAAUCGGAUUUUUUGGUGGAUUUUUGGGGAAUUUUUGGGGAUGUUUUAGGAAAUUUUUUGGAAUUUUUUGGACGAUUUUUUGUGAAAAAAAUCCUAUUUCUUGGGGGAUUUUUGGGGGAUUUUUUGGGUUAUUUUUACAAAUUUUUUCAGAUUUUUCAGGAUUUUUUUUGGGAUUUUUUGGGAAUUUUUUGGGAUUUUUUGGGGAUUUUUUUCGGGAUUUUUUGGGGAAUUUUUGGGAUUUUUUGGGGAUUUUUGGGCCAUUUUUUGUGAAAAAAAUCCGAUUUUUUGGGAAUUUUUGGGGCAAAUUUUGUCCGAUUUUUUUCAAAUUUUUUGUGUAUAAAAACUGAAUUUUUUACCACAUUUUCACCCACCUAAUAUCCUCAUCAGUGACCACAAAAGCCCUGCACAGGGGCUGGGCCGUGUUCAACCAAAUCCCCGGGAAAAUGGGAAAUUUCACAUUAAAAAAUCCAAAUUUUGGGGGAAAAAAUCAGGGAUUUUCUGAGAAUUUUUUGGGAUUUUUUGGGGAAUUUUUGCGAAUUUUUGGGGAAUUUUUUCAGAAUUUUUUGGG
RNAcentral lists this long non-coding RNA (1042 nucleotides) under Zonotrichia albicollis (white-throated sparrow). Its description in RNAcentral is "lncRNA (ENSZALG00000000555.1)". Lineage: Eukaryota; Metazoa; Chordata; Aves; Passeriformes; Passerellidae. The record is from RNAcentral.